This 72-nucleotide transfer RNA is filed under the name Exophiala sideris. RNAcentral's name for it is "tRNA-His (GTG) (tRNA-His-GTG-1-1)". It matches the Rfam family "tRNA". Rfam says of the family: Transfer RNA (tRNA) molecules are approximately 80 nucleotides in length. Their secondary structure includes four short double-helical elements and three loops (D, anti-codon, and T loops). The record is from RNAcentral. Lineage: Eukaryota; Fungi; Ascomycota; Eurotiomycetes; Chaetothyriales; Herpotrichiellaceae.
GCCGGCGUAGUGCAGUGGUCAGCACGUUUCGUUGUGGCCGAAGAAACCUUAGUUCAAAUCUGAGCGCCGGCA